This 482-nucleotide ribosomal RNA is filed under the name uncultured bacterium. Its description in RNAcentral is "partial 16S ribosomal RNA". It matches the Rfam family "Bacterial small subunit ribosomal RNA", at positions 30 to 507 of the family's 1533-position model. The record is from RNAcentral.
AUUGAACGCUGGCGGCAUGCUUUACACAUGCAAGUCGAACGGUAACAGGCCGCCAGGUGCUGACGAGUGGCGCACGGGUGAGUAAUGCACCGGAACGUGCCCAGUCGUGGGGGAUAACUACUCGAAAGAGUAGCUAAUACCGCAUACGAUCCAUGGAUGAAAGCGGGGGACCGUAAGGCCUCGCGCGAUUGGAGCGGCCGAUGUCAGAUUAGGUAGUUGGUGGGGUAAAGGCUCACCAAGCCAACGAUCUGUAGCUGGUCUGAGAGGACGACCAGCCACACUGGGACUGAGACACGGCCCAGACUCCUACGGGAGGCAGCAGUGGGGAAUUUUGGACAAUGGGCGCAAGCCUGAUCCAGCAAUGCCGCGUGCAGGAAGAAGGCCUUCGGGUUGUAAACUGCUUUUGUACGGAACGAAACGGUUCUGGUUAAUACCCGGGGCUAAUGACGGUACCGUAAGAAUAAGCACCGGCUAACUACGUG